RNAcentral lists this transfer RNA (70 nucleotides) under Mordacia mordax (southern lamprey). Its description in RNAcentral is "tRNA-Ala". It matches the Rfam family "tRNA". From Rfam's summary of the family: Transfer RNA (tRNA) molecules are approximately 80 nucleotides in length. RNAcentral also lists the same sequence under 1 other name. The record is from RNAcentral. Lineage: Eukaryota; Metazoa; Chordata; Hyperoartia; Petromyzontiformes; Petromyzontidae.
AAAGUUUUAGCUUAAUUUUAAAGCACUUGAUUUGCGUUCAAGCGAUGUGAGGAUAUACUUGCAAACUUUA